Molecule: unclassified non-coding RNA, 338 nt
Filed under: soil metagenome
Description: partial contains 5.8S ribosomal RNA, internal transcribed spacer 2, and large subunit ribosomal RNA
Rfam family: 5.8S ribosomal RNA (bases 1-120)
Source: RNAcentral
GAUGAAGAACGUAGCGAAAUGCGAUAAGUAAUGUGAAUUGCAGAAUUCAGUGAAUCAUCGAAUCUUUGAACGCACAUUGCGCCCGGUAGUAUUCUGCCGGGCAUGCCUGUUCGUGCGUCAUUUCAACCAUCAAGCCCCAGCGCUUGUGUUGGGGGCCUGCGGCUGCCGCAGCCCCCUAAAAGCAGUGGCGGGCUCGCUAUCACACCGAGUGCAGUAGUUCAUCUUCUCUCCGGUCUUGUGAGGCGGGUUCCGGCCGUGAAACACCCCACUACAUUCAAGGUUGACCUCGGAUCAGGUAGGAAUACCCGCUGAACUUAAGCAUAUCAAUAAGCGGAGGA